RNAcentral lists this small nuclear RNA (259 nucleotides) under Neotoma lepida (desert woodrat). RNAcentral describes it as "7SK RNA". It matches the Rfam family "7SK RNA". Rfam says of the family: 7SK was discovered as an abundant small nuclear RNA in the mid-70s but a possible function has only recently been suggested. Two independent studies have found that 7SK RNA binds the CDK9/cyclin T complex (known as elongation factor P-TEFb). P-TEFb activates transcription by phosphorylating the C-terminal domain of RNA polymerase II. Lineage: Eukaryota; Metazoa; Chordata; Mammalia; Rodentia; Cricetidae. The record is from Rfam by way of RNAcentral.
GAAUGUGGGGGCAAUCUGGCUGUGACGUCUGCCACCCACUUGAUGGCCAGGGUUGUUUCUCCUUCACUGCUCCAUGUGCAUCCAAACCUUAGGGUUAGGUAGACCUUCGCUAGUGAGGGGGACUGGUCCUUGGUCAAGAGUACAGUACUUGUAGCAGCACUAGAACCCUCAAACAAGUUCUGAAGAAAGGGAAAAUAGGCCACACGCAACUCACUGAAUAAAGUUGCUUGCUGUCAGGCCUGGCCACUUGCAUCCUAUC